GUGCAUAAGCUUCCGCUGCGCACAACAGAACCAUCAACCAACAGUUCAUAGAAUGCAUAUUUUUCACAAUUUUGAUGAGUGUUUGGGAGCAUUUUUUCUACUGUUUGCAGUGUUCAGUUCUUUGAAUAGUACUAUUUGUUUCAGUAUUCUUAUUUGUGUUUUAAUCUGCUUUUAGACAAUUGACGAAGAGAAAGCUUUGUGUGAGCAGGGGCAACAAUAUUCGGAACUGCAAAAGAUAGUAUUCCUGUAGCAUCUGACGUGGAAGAGCUGCAAAGCUUUACAGAAGCAAAUGGAAGGUACUUAUCCUUUGUUGUUGUUUAUGAGCACAUGUCUUUGUGUCUCCUGCGGAUUCCUGAUUGUUGAUUUUAUUUGGUGGUGGAGACAAGGAAUUAGCGCAUUCAAUAGGAACGUUAAGCCAACCUAAACUGGGCAGGAAGCUCGUCUGUUCGAACUGAAGCUGAAAAUGUAGAGCAAUCGCCAUUGGUGAGACAGAUCUAGAUGUGUCUCUUUGUGAUCAGAUUCUGUUAAAGAUGCUUCAGAAAUGGAUUAUGAUAGCCCUCCAUCUGGCCUGGGACGAUGCCUCCAUCCCCAAAAUAAUGGAGCACUUUUCCCAUCUGAGGUAUGAUCAUUAACCAUCAAUGAGAUGAACAAUAAUAUCCAAGUUUAAGAUAUAAGUGAAUGAUUGUUCUUUGUUUUUGCUAUGAUGUAGUGGGGAUUUCUUAUACAGAAUGAUGCAUUCAGUUGAAUCACACAGGCUUAUAUGAUGGGCAGUUGAAAACCCAAUUGGGUCAAUACAAAGUCAACACGGAGGAGGUGGUCUUCGAACAUGUGUUGUUUAUGCCAAAAUACAAUGAUAGGAUGCAAAGGAGUUAAAGGAAAAGCUCAAGCAUCCUUUUCAC
RNAcentral lists this long non-coding RNA (899 nucleotides) under Aquilegia coerulea. RNAcentral describes it as "long non-coding RNA (ACOE_LNC000511)". Lineage: Eukaryota; Viridiplantae; Streptophyta; Magnoliopsida; Ranunculales; Ranunculaceae. The record is from RNAcentral.